AGGGAAUCUUCGGCAAUGGACGGAAGUCUGACCGAACAGCGCCGCGUGAGUGAAGAAGGUUUUCGGAUCGUAAAGCUCUGUUGUAAGAGAAGAACGAGUGUGAGAGUGGAAAGUUCACACUGUGACGGUAUCUUACCAGAAAGGGACGGCUAACUACGUGCCAGCAGCCGCGGUAAUACGUAGGUCCCGAGCGUUGUCCGGAUUUAUUGGGCGUAAAGCGAGCGCAGGCGGUUAGAUAAGUCUGAAGUUAAAGGCUGUGGCUUAACCAUAGUACGCUUUGGAAACUGUUUAACUUGAGUGCAAGAGGGGAGAGUGGAAUUCCAUGUGUAGCGGUGAAAUGCGUAGAUAUAUGGAGGAACACCGGUGGCGAAAGCGGCUCUCUGGCUUGUAACUGACGCUGAGGCUCGAAAGCGUGGGGAGCAAACAGGAUUAGAUACCCUGGUAGUCCACGCUGUAAACGAUGAGUGCUAGGUGUUAGACCCUUUCCGGGGUUUAGUGCCGUAGCUAACGCAUUAAGCACUCCGCCUGGGGAGUACGACCGCAAGGUUG
Molecule: ribosomal RNA, 549 nt
Filed under: uncultured bacterium
Lineage: Bacteria
Description: bacterial SSU rRNA
Rfam family: Bacterial small subunit ribosomal RNA
Source: RNAcentral